GUUUUUUGUAUCGAGUGAUUUGUUGGAUGAUUUGCACUUCAGGGCCACCGUAGUUUUCAGCGCACGUCUCUGUUAACAAUGAGCCCUACCGUCAGACAUGAGGCACAGCGCUCCCGAGCCUCACCUGGAGUUUCCGCUCAGUUUGUGAUCGCACAACACUCAAAUUUGGCGAUUUUAAUCUCAGAAACUGUGGAGAGCGUGUUGAUUUGACUGAAAAUGCAUAUUUAACACAGAUCAGUGGGAAAAAAUAUUUACUUAAUUUACCUUUUUCUAUUUUAUCAGAAUUAUGACAGGUGACCGCACGUCACUGCAUGGUAAAGAACAAAAGGCUCUGAUGUCAUUCUGCUGACCAGACUGUGGUUCAUGAAGUCAAACAGCACUGGGGUCCUUGAAGCGGGGUUGAAGAGCUCCCCUCCCAUCUUUUGGAAGGCAGCACAGAGGAAUUGAUGGAGUGAGGCGUGAUGGACUAACUAUCUGCUGAGGAGGAGAUUGCAGUUCAAGAUCAAAGGGCAGGUCAAGCCCCACCCCUCAAAAAAGGGCUGAUAUGAAGGAAACCCUCCUUUCAACUUUGUACCAAUACAUUACUUGUAAUUGAAAUAAGAGAUUUUUUUUCUGCACCACACUAAUGAACGUUUUUUCAACCUUCAAUCUAUUGUAUUUUUUUUUUUACUUCCAUUCAAGUUUCUACAAAACCGCUCCCGAAAUAUUUCAGUGCUCAAACCUGUGCUGAAGGCACUUCUCUUUUUUACUAAAAUGGUUGGUCUUUGAUUUGUAUGUCCAACAUCUUUAAAUGAAACACUGACUUAUUAAACUCAUUUAACUAAUGUGCUACGCAUAUCCAAAUCCUUUGUCAGUGCCGGCUGCAUCAAAAUUGUAGCAGGACAAGAGUAAAAUGACAAGUUAUCUUAAAUUAAGGGUAAAUGACAUGAGAAAAUAAGAAUAUUAGAAGUGUGGAGUGAUAUGUCUGUUUAUUAGUAUGUUAGCUGCAGGAUGGGUGCAGUCCUUCACACGUUACUUUAUUCAGUCAGGAUGACAAGUAGGGAAGUUGGUAGCGGAUGAUCUUCUCUGAUAUCUUCAGCAUUGAAGCUUCUGCUGCUCUUCUUCAGUUUGAUAAGAGAACCAGACUGUGAUGCAGUUGGACUGGUGGAGCGGUUGGUUGCCAGCAGUUCUAUUAAUAAUAAUUUUUACAUUUAUCUCAGUCUAUUGUUAUUACCCAUUAACAUUUCAUGGAAGCUCGAUGAGAUGACAUCUUCAAUCUGAGUGAACUCUAGUUUGAUUAGAAACUGUCAUUUGUGAACCGUCAGCAGAUCUGGUCAAUUCUCAAGAAAAAACACACUAAUCAUUUCAUCUUUUAGAUCCAUUAAAAAAACCAGCAGCUCUCAAGUGCUUCAGGCGUCCAGCCAUCAACCGUUUCAGGCAUCCUUCCUCCCACCACCUCACCAACCAAUCUCUUUAGCACUUCAGCCUCAAAUGCCAACAUUUUACUAUCAUGGUAGAUUAUUAUUUUUCUGUACAGGUAGCAAAAACUAUAUGUUUUCAGAUAUUCCUAGGCAUCACUACUUUUAUUUAAGAAAGAACUGUUAACAUAAAGAAUUUUUUUAUCCGCCACAAAUGUUUCUCCAAAGAAGAAAUGUGAAAAUACAAAGAAUUUCAUCUGUUGGUCAUUGUUACAGUUUUUCUUCAAAUCUUUAAUAAGAAAUAAUAAAAAAAAAAAAAAA
This is a non-coding RNA of Oryzias latipes (Japanese medaka), 1718 nucleotides long. NCBI's taxonomy places the organism in Eukaryota, Metazoa, Chordata, Actinopteri, Beloniformes, Adrianichthyidae. The record is from RefSeq and is a predicted model, not a curated record.